RNAcentral lists this transfer RNA (18 nucleotides) under Myotis sodalis (Indiana bat). RNAcentral's name for it is "partial tRNA-Pro". Lineage: Eukaryota; Metazoa; Chordata; Mammalia; Chiroptera; Vespertilionidae. The record is from RNAcentral.
CACAUACUCUAAAACCUU